CAUAGCUCAAUGUUCAUUGAAACAUUGUAAUAAACAUAUUAGUGGCCUAAGAAGAAUCAAGUAGUCCAAUAUUAUUCAAUAAAUCACAAAGAUUGUUAGGCAAGAGUCACCACUUGAUAAAAUAUGUGGGCUAUGAAUCUUUUUAGACUUUUAUAGAUACUUCAAAGAAGCUCUAACUUUCAAGAACUCAAAUUUCAUAAACUUUAGCACCAACAAAAAAUGGCAAGAAGAAGAAUUGCAAAGACAUUACCACACGUAACUACACGUA
RNAcentral lists this long non-coding RNA (268 nucleotides) under Sorghum bicolor (sorghum). Its description in RNAcentral is "long non-coding RNA (SBIC_LNC015080)". The record is from RNAcentral. Lineage: Eukaryota; Viridiplantae; Streptophyta; Magnoliopsida; Poales; Poaceae.